GACGAACGCUGGCGGCGUGCUUAACACAUGCAAGUCGAACGAAGUGGCGAACGGGUGAGUAACGCGUAAUCAACCUGCCCUUCAGAGGGGGACAACAGUUGGAAACGACUGCUAAUACCGCAUACUGAAGGAGGGGAUUGCGUCUGAUUAGCUAGUUGGAGGGGUAACGGCCCACCAAGGCGAUGAUCAGUAGCCGGUCUGAGAGGGUGAACAGCCAACAUGGGACUGUGACACGGCACAGACUCCUACGGGAGGCAGACGUGGGGAAUCUUCCGACAUAGACGAAAGUCUGACGGAGCAACGCCGCGUGAGUGAUGACGGCCUUCGGGUUGUAAAGCUCUGUUAAUCGGGACGCGUUACCGGAAUAGAAAGCAACGGCUAACUACGUGCCAGCAGCCGCGGUAAUAC
This 408-nucleotide ribosomal RNA is filed under the name uncultured bacterium. RNAcentral's name for it is "partial 16S ribosomal RNA". It matches the Rfam family "Bacterial small subunit ribosomal RNA", at positions 28 to 526 of the family's 1533-position model. The record is from RNAcentral.